This is a long non-coding RNA of Panicum hallii, 2025 nucleotides long. RefSeq lists it as uncharacterized. The record is from RefSeq and is a predicted model, not a curated record. Lineage: Eukaryota; Viridiplantae; Streptophyta; Magnoliopsida; Poales; Poaceae. The transcript has 6 exons.
CAGCCGCCACAAGAUCCAGGGCUUUAUCAUGGAAAGCUCGGAUGAAGAUUGCCCUUGGAGCUGCCUAUGCUCUGGAAUACAUGCACUUGACGUGUUCCCCUCCAGUUGCUCAUGGAAAUAAUAUUUUGCUUGAUGCUCAGCUCAUGCCCUACCUCUGUGACAGCGGAUUAACCAAGUUAAGGCAUUUUGUCAGCACCAUGGGAACGGAUCAAGUUGCACCUUGGAUGCCAUUUGGCCAUUCCUCAUGCAGUUUUCUCCUCAUGCAUAAGUGAUCAUGGCCUCAACUGAUCGAAAUUUCCAUUUUAAGAUUUAUCACUGGAUUAACACAACUUAUGAAAUGCUGGCGUGAUAUUAUUUAGUAUAUGUAUUCAAAAUGUUGCUUACUGUAAUGCUUAAAAUUGAGUUUCUUUAACUCGAUCCAUUGGCCAUCGAUGGUUCAUUUGAUUAUUUUUGAACAAUUCAUCACCGGAACAGAAGGAUUCAGAAGCUAUCACCAGUGCUAAAGGCUAUGCUGCCCCUGAGCUUGCUGAUGCCAGUUGGUGCAUCAGUGCGUGAUGCCCAAAGCUGCUGUGUUGCAACCUGAUUACCGGAGGACUUAGGGUAGAUUCCACUAUUGUCUACAUAAAAAGGAGUGAUCAACAAACUGCAGUCUCUUACUCAUGCAGAAAUUGGUGAGCUCAUCAGGGUCAAAUAAGGAAGUUGUUGUUUUUGCAGGGCCAUAGAAGGAAGCGUGAUUUGUUCGAGGGCCUUGCAGGGGAUUUCGCCCGAGGGUACUACGGUCUUUUCACAGUCACUUAACUGGAACUUAACUGCAGAUGUAACGGGAGGGCCGUGGAAGGGAACGAAAAUAAAAAGGAGGCCACAGAAGGACGUCUCGGUUUUCCAGGGCCAUAGAAGGAAGCGUCAUUUGCUUCAGGGCCUUCCAGGGAAUUUUCCCAAUUUUAAUUGGAGAACCUCUGUAUGCUUGUAUCAUCUGUGCUCGUCUUCGUGCGAAACUUUCAGUGUAUGUUUUGAUCCAUGAUUACAGUGGUUGAAUCAGGAUUUACCCAACAGACUGUCAAGAUUAUACUGUUCUAAGUGCAUAUGAACUGGAUUAAUUCUAAAGAUGAUGGUCAGUGCACUUAAGCCGGUUUAAUUUUGGCUUCAGACUUUAAACCCGAUGGAUUGUAACAACUAUUAUUCUGUCAGCACUUUCUUAAUGAAAAACUGAAAAUCAUACAUUUUCUUUCUUAAGCAGUUUGUGGCAACUACAGGCACAAAUAUGCCGAAGAAUGACAUGAGAAAUGCUAUGGGCAUCACAAAGAUGAAGAAGGAUGGUUGAGGCUCUGUCAGCAUGCUUUGCAGGUGAGCCCUGACUUUGGAUGAAGAAGUGCACUAGGAUUGAAAGCUCUACAUAAUUCUAGGACCUAGGGAUCAGAUGCUCUGCAGUUCUAUGCGCACCGCCCAAGCCAAGAUGCAUCUCAUUCUCACCAGCACGCGCAAGCGCAAGUGCAGGCGCCCUCGCAGGCGCAAGUCAGGUGCCAACGCACCGUCGCGCAUCACCAUCACGUUGCUCACUGAGAUCCUCCUUCGCCUUCGAACCUUGCCUCACUCUCCCGUGCCGCCCUCAUCACCUGCCCGUUGUGGCACCGCCUGGCCACCUCACGUGACUUUCUUGCCAAUUUCGUGCCUGCCACGGCUCGCCACUGCUGCUCGGUUGCUUCUCCCACGACUUCGACUUCAACAAGCGGUUGCCCUUCUUCCGCCGUGCAAGGAGCCUCACUGACGGUGACCUAGCCACCAUUGUCUGCGGCAAGGACUUCUUUCUGACCAGCAUCUUGCAUUGGAAGAUGCCCCAUGGAUGUUUAAGGACUACUGUCGUGUGCCGAUGAGCUCGCCGUGUUCGAUCUUGUCCGGCGGCAACCAGUGUUUUUAAAAUAGUGGGCUAACGCAUUUAGUGGUUGGUGUUUGUCGAGGCUAAGAAAGGCUAUAGCGGGCUAUAGCCUAACUAAACCAUUUAGCGGUUCUGUAAAUACCAUACAUAAA